GACGAACGCUGGCGGCGUGCUUAACACAUGCAAGUCGAACGGAAAGGCCCUGCUUUUGUGGGGUGCUCGAGUGGCGAACGGGUGAGUAACACGUGAGUAACCUGCCCUUGACUUUGGGAUAACUUCAGGAAACUGGGGCUAAUACCGGAUAGGAGCUCCUGCUGCAUGGUGGGGGUUGGAAAGUGUCGGCGGUUGGGGAUGGACUCGCGGCUUAUCAGCUUGUUGGUGGGGUAGUGGCUUACCAAGGCUUUGACGGGUAGCCGGCCUGAGAGGGUGACCGGCCACAUUGGGACUGAGAUACGGCCCAGACUCCUACGGGGGGCAGCAGUGGGAAUAUUGCACAAUGGGCGGAAGCCUGAUGCAGCAACGUCGCGUGCGGGAUGACGGCCUUCGGGUUGUAAACCGCUUUCGCCUGUGACGAAGCGUGAGUGACGGUAAUGGGUAAAGAAGCACCGGCUAACUACGUG
RNAcentral lists this ribosomal RNA (467 nucleotides) under uncultured bacterium. RNAcentral describes it as "partial 16S ribosomal RNA". It matches the Rfam family "Bacterial small subunit ribosomal RNA", at positions 28 to 507 of the family's 1533-position model. The record is from RNAcentral.